RNAcentral lists this ribosomal RNA (465 nucleotides) under Vreelandella stevensii. Its description in RNAcentral is "partial 16S ribosomal RNA". It matches the Rfam family "Bacterial small subunit ribosomal RNA", at positions 338 to 795 of the family's 1533-position model. The record is from RNAcentral. Lineage: Bacteria; Pseudomonadati; Pseudomonadota; Gammaproteobacteria; Oceanospirillales; Halomonadaceae.
CCUACGGGCGGCUGCAGUGGGGAAUAUUGGACAAUGGGCGAAAGCCUGAUCCAUCCAUGCCGCGUGUGUGAAGAAGGCCUUCGGGUUGUAAAGCACUUUCAGUGGGGAAGAAAGCCUUGGGGCUAAUACCCUCGAGGAAGGACAUCACCCACAGAAGAAGCACCGGCUAACUCCGUGCCAGCAGCCGCGGUAAUACGGAGGGUGCGAGCGUUAAUCGGAAUUACUGGGCGUAAAGCGCGCGUAGGCGGUCUGAUAAGCCGGUUGUGAAAGCCCCGGGCUCAACCUGGGAACGGCAUCCGGAACUGUCAGGCUAGAGUGCAGGAGAGGAAGGUAGAAUUCCCGGUGUAGCGGUGAAAUGCGUAGAGAUCGGGAGGAAUACCAGUGGCGAAGGCGGCCUUCUGGACUGACACUGACGCUGAGGUGCGAAAGCGUGGGUAGCAAACAGGAUUAGAUACCCUUGUAGUC